AGUGAACGCUGGCGGUAGGCCUAACACAUGCAAGCCGAACGGCAGCACAGUAAGAGCUUGCUCUUACGGGUGGCGAGUGGCGGACGGGUGAGGAAUACAUCGGAAUCUACUUUUUCGUGGGGGAUAACGUAGGGAAACUUACGCUAAUACCGCAUACGACCUACGGGUGAAAGCAGGGGAUCUUCGGACCUUGCGCGAUUGAAUGAGCCGAUGUCGGAUUAGCUAGUUGGGGGGGUAAAGGCCCACCAAGGCGACGAUCCGUAGCUGGUCUGAGAGGAUGAUCAGCCACACUGGAACUGAGACACGGUCCAGACUCCUACGGGAGGCAGCAGUGGGGAAUAUUGGACAACGGGCGCAAGCCUGAUCCAGCCAUACCGCGUGGGUGAAGAAGGCCUUCGGGUUGUAAAGCCCUUUUGUUGGGAAAGAAAAGCAGCAGGCUAAUACCCCGCUGUUCUGACGGUACCCAAAGAAUAAGCACCGGCUAACUUCGUG
This 492-nucleotide ribosomal RNA is filed under the name uncultured bacterium. RNAcentral's name for it is "partial 16S ribosomal RNA". It matches the Rfam family "Bacterial small subunit ribosomal RNA", at positions 29 to 507 of the family's 1533-position model. The record is from RNAcentral.